Molecule: long non-coding RNA, 802 nt
Organism: Magallana angulata
Lineage: Eukaryota; Metazoa; Mollusca; Bivalvia; Ostreida; Ostreidae
Exons: 4
Source: RefSeq, a predicted model, not a curated record
UUUGUACAGCGGGGCUGAACAAGGUGUGUCAAAGGUCGUUAGGGACGCGUAUAAGAAUUACGAAGAUAUGGAAUUUAAAAUUGAACGUGACGGGAAACAAAUUAACGACGUAAACCGGCAUGUCAAACUCAUCUGUGUGCCUAAAAACAAGUCAAACAGUUCGUCGAGAAAUCCUAAAAGUACCAAGGUGGAGAAAUGCCAGUUCCCGUUGCUGUUGUUGUUUGUGAGGGGGAUAUUGAGACAGUUGUACACAUUUCAAAGGCCCUAGAAAGUAAACUUCCAGUGAUUAUCAUGAAGGGAUCGGGAGCGGCGGCCGACAUUGUUGUGGACUACCUAGAAAAUGAAGACCUACUUCCAAAACAUGCCAGUAUUUUGUUGGGCAUUCAAUUUGAUGAUACAAGAUACCAGGUCUUAAAAACACAUUUAAAAAAAAUUUCUUCAGCAAAAAACUUGGCAAGUUAGCAAAAUGUUUUAGCAUAUAAAAAGCAACAUAAAAAAUAUGAUUAAAAUUAUUAGACAUAAAUGUAUCUAGCCAAAUAUAUAUUUUUGGUCACUUCAAGAUCUAAUAGUAUAUUUAAUGGGCAUAUGUAUUAGAUUUAAUGAAACUUUAACUCAUUCCUCUUAAUUAGCUAUUGACUCCUAUGAUAACUCUUGCUCAAUAUUUAAAAAGUACUAUUUCUUAAAACGUCCUUUUAAUUGCAUUUAAAAAUCGGACGUUAAGGCUAUGUUACUUAAUCAACUAUUGAGAAAGAAAAAAAGUUUGAACAAGCCCUAAACAAAUGUAUUUAUGUAUUUCUUAAGA